UGCCUGAUCGUUAUCAAAAAGGUGGUGCCUUAUAUCAAAACACGACCACAAUACUGUUGUAUUUGUUUCGAAUUUAUAUUAAAUUUAUCUAAUAUAAGGAAGUCAAACUGUGAAAAAAUAUAUUAACAUAAAGUUACCUCAGGAAUUUGAUGUACAGUAGUUGUCGUCUGUUUAUGUAGUUCAUACGUAUUUUUCGUUUCUCCGUUUUAAAUAAAUAAGACCGUUGGGUUUUCCGUUUGAAUGGUUUAACUUUUAUAAAUUGUUACUUGAAUGGAGAGUUGUCUCAUUGGCACUCAUACCACAUCUUCCUAUAUCUAUUAAAAGAUAUAAGUUAAGUGCUUUGAUACGAAUACAUAAUGUCAAUGGUGUAAGAUGUUGCAAAAUAUGAAAUCGUCAUCAUUCCAAUAGCUAAGGAAGGUAAAGUAAAAUACAAAAUCCCAUACUGUAAAAAUAAUUAAAAUCUUGUGAACAUAUGGAGUAUAAUAACAAAGCAGCAAGCAAUCCUCAAGUUAAACAUUAAUAUAGGAAAGAUAAAGCUAUUAGUACAACGCACAUUAAAU
RNAcentral lists this long non-coding RNA (560 nucleotides) under Mytilus galloprovincialis (Mediterranean mussel). Lineage: Eukaryota; Metazoa; Mollusca; Bivalvia; Mytilida; Mytilidae. The record is from RNAcentral.